AUGAUAAAAAAGAUAAUUUUUGAUGUGGAAGAGUACUACUCCGAUAUCCAAGAAGAGACUAAUAUUUUGCAGGAGUCUAUGGAAGAAGAAAUUGAUGAAACUGUGAGCUCAUUGGAUGAACAAGAUGAGGAGAAGAGCGAAGAACAAAAGGAGGAAGAGCGGAUUAGCUACCCGUGCCCACCUUCUAAUGAGAGUAACUCUUCAACUCAUACAUUGUUUAAUUUCCCUUCGUGCUUACCGGAGGAUGAUUGCUAUGAUGACUGCUAUGAUCCUGUUGAUUCUUUUGAAAUAUCCCUUUUUGAUGAUGCUUGCUAUACUUGUGGCCAAGAUGCCAAUAUAAAUUAUUCCUAUGGAGAUGAACUUGCUAUCGUUCCUUAUGUUAAACAUGAAAUUGUUGCUAUCGCACCCACACAUGAUAGUCCUAUUAUCUUUUGA
Molecule: ribosomal RNA, 435 nt
Filed under: Triticum aestivum (bread wheat)
Lineage: Eukaryota; Viridiplantae; Streptophyta; Magnoliopsida; Poales; Poaceae
Description: partial small subunit ribosomal RNA
Source: RNAcentral